CCUACGGGAGGCAGCAGUGAGGAAUAUUGGUCAAUGGACGAGAGUCUGAACCAGCCAAGUAGCGUGAAGGAUGACUGCCCUAUGGGUUGUAAACUUCUUUUAUAUGGGAAUAAAAUGUUCCACGUGUGGGAUUUUGUAUGUACCAUAUGAAUAAGGAUCGGCUAACUCCGUGCCAGCAGCCGCGGUAAUACGGAGGAUCCGAGCGUUAUCCGGAUUUAUUGGGUUUAGAGGGAGCGUAGGUGGAUUGUUAAGUCAGUUGUGAAAGUUUGCGGCUCAACCGUAAAAUUGCAGUUGAAACUGGCAGUCUUGAGUACAGUAGAGGUGGGCGGAAUUCGUGGUGUAGCGGUGAAAUGCUUAGAGAUCACGAAGAACUCCGAUUGCGAAGGCAGUUCACUGGACUGCAACUGACACUGAGGCUCGAAAGUGUGGGUAUCAAACAGGAGUAGAUACCCGAGUAGUC
This 460-nucleotide ribosomal RNA is filed under the name uncultured bacterium. RNAcentral's name for it is "partial 16S ribosomal RNA". It matches the Rfam family "Bacterial small subunit ribosomal RNA", at positions 338 to 795 of the family's 1533-position model. The record is from RNAcentral.